AAGCCAUGCAUGUCUAAGUAUAAGCAAUUAUACCGCGAAACUGCGAAUGGCUCAUUAUAUAAGUUAUCGUUUAUUUGAUAGCACAUUACUACUUGGAUAACCGUGGUAAUUCUAGAGCUAAUACAUGCUAAAAAUCCCGACUCCGGAAGGGAUGUAUUUAUUAGAUUAAAAACCGAUGCCCUCUGGGGCUUACAGGUGAUUCAUGAUAACUUCUCGAAUCGCAUGGCCUUGCGCNGGCGAUGGUUCAUUCAAAUUUCUUCCCUAUCAACUUUCGAUGCGAAGGUCUUGUCUUCGCAUGGUUACAACGGGUAACGGAGGGUUAGGGCUCGAUCCCGGAGAAGGAGCCUGAGAAACGGCUACUACAUCCAAGGAAGGCAGCAGGCGCGCAAAUUACCCAAUCCCGACACGGGGAGGUAGUGACAAAAAAUACUGAUACAGGGCUCUUUUGGGUCUUGUAAUUGGAAUGAGUACAAUUUAAAUCCCUUAACGAGGAACAAUUGGAGGGCAAGUCUGGUGCCAGCAGCCGCGGUAAUUCCAGCUCCAAUAGCGUAUAUUAAAGUUGUUGUGGUUAAAAAGCUCGUAGUUGAACCUUGGGCCUGGCUGGCCGGUCCCCCUCACCGGGUGCACUGAUCCAGCCGGGUCUUUCCCUCUAUGGAACCCCAUGGCCUUCACUGGUCGUGGCGGGGAAGUAGGACUUUUACUUUGAAAAAAUUAGAGUGCUCCAGGCAGGCCUAUGCUCGAAUACAUUAGCAUGGAAUAAUAGAAUAGGACGCGUGGUUCUAUUUUGUUGGUUUCUAGGACCGCCGNAAUGAUUAAUAGGGACAGUCGGGGGCAUCAGUAUUCAAUUGUCAGAGGUGAAAUUCUUGGAUCUAUUGAAGACUAACUACUGCGAAAGCAUUUGCCAAGGAUGUUUUCAUUGAUAAGGAACGAAAGUUAGGGGAUCGAAGACGAUCAGAUACCGUCGUAGUCUUAACUAUAAACUAUGCCGACUAGGGAUCGGACGAUGUUAUUUUUUGACUCGUUCGGCACCUUUCGAGAAAUCAAAGUGCUUGGGCUCC
RNAcentral lists this ribosomal RNA (1058 nucleotides) under Halosphaeriopsis mediosetigera. RNAcentral describes it as "SSU rRNA". It matches the Rfam family "Eukaryotic small subunit ribosomal RNA", at positions 46 to 1115 of the family's 1831-position model. The record is from RNAcentral. Lineage: Eukaryota; Fungi; Ascomycota; Sordariomycetes; Microascales; Halosphaeriaceae.